RNAcentral lists this ribosomal RNA (438 nucleotides) under Triticum aestivum (bread wheat). Its description in RNAcentral is "partial small subunit ribosomal RNA". Lineage: Eukaryota; Viridiplantae; Streptophyta; Magnoliopsida; Poales; Poaceae. The record is from RNAcentral.
AUGACUAGGGAUAACCUUAGGAAGAGACACAUCAUCAAACCCCUUGAUUGUGUUUACUGCUUGGAACAAGAGUCUUGUUCUCACCUAUUUUUUGAAUGUAUAGUUGCUAAACAUCUCUGGGCCCACAUUGAGGAAUAUUUCUCUAGUCAGAUUGGCUCAUCCUUCGAAUGUGUCACCAGAUUCUGGAUUGCUACCAAAAAGUGCUCAGUUUUAAACACUGUUAGCUCAGCUGUCCUUUGGUGCCUCUGGAAAUAUAGAAAUGCUAUGAUUUUCAGUAACACCUCCUGGAUUUCCAUUCCGCAGGUCUUGAUGUUGAUCAGGAACAUGGUGAGGAACUGGGCGAUUCUCUCCUCCGGAUCGGACAAGGACAAGUUGAUGAGCUUCGUGGAAACCCUAACAAGAUCCCUCCAGAAACCAUUGGCGAUCACUUGUGGCUGA